This 332-nucleotide ribosomal RNA is filed under the name uncultured bacterium. Its description in RNAcentral is "bacterial SSU rRNA". It matches the Rfam family "Bacterial small subunit ribosomal RNA", at positions 505 to 828 of the family's 1533-position model. The record is from RNAcentral.
GUGCCAGCAGCCGCGGUAGGAUACAGAGGGUGCAAGCGUUAAUCGGAAAUUACUGGGCGUAAAGCGCGCGUAGGUGGUUUGUUAAGUUGGAUAGUGAAAGCCCCGGGCUCAACCUGGGAACUGCAUUCAAAACUGACAAGCUAGAGUAUGGUUAGAGGGUGGUGGGAAUUUCCUGUGUAGCGGUGAAAAUGCGUAAGAUAUAGGAAGGAACACCAGUGGCGAAGGCGACCACCUGGACUGAUACUGACACGUGAGGUGCGAAAGCGUGGGAGCAAACAGGAUUAGAUACCCUGGUAGUCCACGCCGUAAACGAUGUCAACUAGCCGUUGGGA